Molecule: non-coding RNA, 92 nt
Filed under: Alicyclobacillus acidoterrestris
Lineage: Bacteria; Bacillati; Bacillota; Bacilli; Caryophanales; Alicyclobacillaceae
Also listed under: 1 other name
Description: c-di-GMP sequence
Rfam family: c-di-GMP-I riboswitch aptamer
About the family: GEMM was predicted in a large-scale screen for bacterial structured RNA regulatory elements. Genes associated with GEMM are involved in a diverse array of functions, including chemotaxis regulation, signal transduction, secretion and chitin.
Source: RNAcentral
UUUUCGAAAUGGCAAACUUAGAGAAAUCUAAGGACGCAAAACUACAGGGGCUACGUUGUUGUUCCACAACAAUAUGCCAGCCAGUUGCCGAA